RNAcentral lists this long non-coding RNA (484 nucleotides) under Mytilus galloprovincialis (Mediterranean mussel). Lineage: Eukaryota; Metazoa; Mollusca; Bivalvia; Mytilida; Mytilidae. The record is from RNAcentral.
GGGGGGGAGUGGUCCCACUGAAAAACCCUCUAAAUCCGCCUCUGAUGUGGCAUUAAACAUUCAUAUAUUGUACAUUUAUGUUUAUCUAAUGAAUUAAUUAUUAAGGCAAAUAAUUUAUAUGUUAUCAAGGUUUCAAUAGCAAUGAAUAUAUAAAUGUAUAUUUUUUAUGGUGAGUCUGCAGUGGUACAAGUUCGCAAUGAUUGUAGUUGUUCUAUUGUUCGUAGUAGUUAGUUAUAGUUGUUCUAGUAGUUAACGUUGGUUUUAGUUGACUGUUAGUAGUACGUGUUGACUUAGUACGAACAUGUAAUAGUAUGAAUGGACUGGUUUCCCUGUAAAGAAAACUGAGUAUGUGUUCUAUAGUACAAUAGUUAUGCGACACAAAUCAGACAAAUGUUCACUACUACAAGGAUCAAAGGUGAGGUCUGACUGACCUGCCCAUAGUAAAUGUAAAUGAUUUGUUAUAUUGUCCCAUACAUGAAUAUAU